This 702-nucleotide ribosomal RNA is filed under the name uncultured bacterium. RNAcentral describes it as "bacterial SSU rRNA". It matches the Rfam family "Bacterial small subunit ribosomal RNA", at positions 79 to 777 of the family's 1533-position model. The record is from RNAcentral.
CUUGCUUCUCUUGAGAGCGGCGGACGGGUGAGUAAUGCCUAGGAAUCUGCCUGGUAGUGGGGGAUAACGUCCGGAAACGGACGCUAAUACCGCAUACGUCCUACGGGAGAAAGCAGGGGACCUUCGGGCCUUGCGCUAUCAGAUGAGCCUAGGUCGGAUUAGCUAGUUGGUGGGGUAAUGGCUCACCAAGGCGACGAUCCGUAACUGGUCUGAGAGGAUGAUCAGUCACACUGGAACUGAGACACGGUCCAGACUCCUACGGGAGGCAGCAGUGGGGAAUAUUGGACAAUGGGCGAAAGCCUGAUCCAGCCAUGCCGCGUGUGUGAAGAAGGUCUUCGGAUUGUAAAGCACUUUAAGUUGGGAGGAAGGGCAGUAAAUUAAUACUUUGCUGUUUUGACGUUACCGACAGAAUAAGCACCGGCUAACUCUGUGCCAGCAGCCGCGGUAAUACAGAGGGUGCAAGCGUUAAUCGGAAUUACUGGGCGUAAAGCGCGCGUAGGUGGUUCGUUAAGUUGGAUGUGAAAUCCCCGGGCUCAACCUGGGAACUGCAUUCAAAACUGACGAGCUAGAGUAUGGUAGAGGGUGGUGGAAUUUCCUGUGUAGCGGUGAAAUGCGUAGAUAUAGGAAGGAACACCAGUGGCGAAAGCGACCACCUGGACUGAUACUGACACUGAGGUGCGAAAGCGUGGGGAGCAAACAGGA